Molecule: ribosomal RNA, 1425 nt
Filed under: Triticum aestivum (bread wheat)
Lineage: Eukaryota; Viridiplantae; Streptophyta; Magnoliopsida; Poales; Poaceae
Description: partial small subunit ribosomal RNA
Source: RNAcentral
AUGCUCCCACUCCCACAUCUUCUUCUAGUCCACACCUUCCUCCCCCAUCCCCUGCCUGGCCCUGCUCCCCAUUUACGCGCCCGGUGCGUACAUUCAUGCAUGACGCACACGGCCAUGAAGAGGAGGAGGCGGCGGCAUGGCCAGCCUCAUCAUCUUCACCUCCUUGUCUCCCUCCUCCUCCUCCUACUCCUCGACCGCGCUUGUGCAGCUCUACCGUCGUCGCCCAAGAUGGCAAGGAUCCAGCAGCAUCUCGACCGCGCCAACAAGCCAGCACUGCGCACCAUACAGAGCAUGGACGGGGACACCAUCGACUGCGUGCCCCGGCACAAGCAGCACGCGCUGGACCACCCGCUCCUCAGGAACCACAGGAUCCAGAGCGCGCCGCCGAGCAUGCCCGCCUCCGCCACCGCCACCUUCAGUGCUAGCGCGGCGGCGUCGGGCAACUCCACCAGCAGGGCCAGAGCGGCGUGGCAGACGUGGCACCACGCGGGCCACUGCCCGAAAGGCACGGUGCCCGUGCGGCGGACCACCGCCGAGGACGUGCUGCGCGGCGGGCAGUCGCUCUUCCGCUUCGGCCGCAAGCGGCACCGCCGCGACCGUGCGGCCCGCGCCGCCAACGCCCCCGACGUCGUCACCGGCAACGGCCACGAGCACGCGAUCGCGUACACGGCGGUGGGGCAGCAGGAGGUGUACGGCGCCAAGGCGACCAUCAACGUCUGGGAUCCGGCCAUCCAGGAGCACAACGGCUUCAGCCUCUCGCAGCUCUGGCUGCUCUCCGGCUCCUUCAACGGCUCCGACCUCAACAGCAUCGAGGCCGGGUGGCAGGUCAGCCCUGAGCUGUACGGUGACAGCAGGCCUAGGCUCUUCACAUAUUGGACAAGCGACGCGUACGAGGCGACGGGCUGCUACAACGCGCUGUGCCCGGGCUUCGUGCAGACCAGCUCCCGCGUGGCCAUCGGCGCAGCCAUCUCCCCGGUCUCCUCCCUCGCUGGCGAGCAGUACGACAUGACGCUCCUCAUCUGGAAGGACCCCAAGCUCGGCAACUGGUGGCUUAGCUACGGCGACGCCGGAGCCUCGCAGCUCGUCGGCUACUGGCCCGCCGAGCUCUUCACGCACCUCUCCGGCCACGCCAGCAUGGUCGAGUGGGGCGGCGAGGUCGUUAACACCAGCCCGGGGGGCGCGCACACCGCCACGCAGAUGGGCUCCGGCAGGUUCGCCGCCGAGGGGUUCGGCCGCGCCAGCUACUUCCGCAACCUCGAGACGGUGGACGCCGGGAACAGCCUCGCCCCCGUGUCGCUCGACGCCGUGCAGACGCUGGCCGAGGACGCCGGCUGCUACGACAUCAGGAAGGCCUACGACGAGCGGGACGGAUGGGGCACGCACUUCUACUACGGGGGACCGGGACACAACCCGGCCUGCCCCUAG